RNAcentral lists this ribosomal RNA (406 nucleotides) under uncultured bacterium. Its description in RNAcentral is "partial 16S ribosomal RNA". It matches the Rfam family "Bacterial small subunit ribosomal RNA", at positions 30 to 526 of the family's 1533-position model. The record is from RNAcentral.
AUUGAACGCUGGCGGCAGGCCUAACACAUGCAAGUCGAACGAGUGGCGGACGGGUGAGUAAUGUCUGGGAAACUGCCUGAUGGAGGGGGAUAACUACUGGAAACGGUAGCUAAUACCGCAUACCAUCAGAUGUGCCCAGAUGGGAUUAGCUUGUUGGCGGGGUAACGGCUAACCAAGGCGAUGAUCCCUAGCUGGUCUGAGAGGAUGACCAGCAACACUGGAACUGGAACACGGUCCAGCCUCCACCGGGGGGCAGCAGUGGGGAAUAUUGCACAAUGGGCGCAAGCCUGAUGCGGCCAUGCCGCGUGUAUGAAGCGGGCCUUCGGGUUGUAAAGUACUUUCAGCGGGGAGACGUUACCCGCAGAAGAAGCACCGGCUAACUACGUGCCAGCAGCCGCGGUAAUUC